This 116-nucleotide ribosomal RNA is filed under the name Sporosarcina sp. Marseille-Q4063. The record is from RNAcentral. Lineage: Bacteria; Bacillati; Bacillota; Bacilli; Caryophanales; Caryophanaceae.
UCUAGUGACGAUAGCGAAGAGGUCACACCCGUUCCCAUACCGAACACGGAAGUUAAGCUCUUCAGCGCCAAUGGUAGUUGGGGGCUUCCCCCUGCAAGAGUAGGACGUUGUUAGGC